This 454-nucleotide ribosomal RNA is filed under the name uncultured bacterium. RNAcentral's name for it is "bacterial SSU rRNA". It matches the Rfam family "Bacterial small subunit ribosomal RNA", at positions 340 to 786 of the family's 1533-position model. The record is from RNAcentral.
UACGGGAGGCAGCAGUGGGGAAUUUUGGACAAUGGGGGCAACCCUGAUCCAGCAAUGCCGCGUGUGUGAAGAAGGCCUUCGGGUUGUAAAGCACUUUUGUCCGGAAAGAAAUCGCACUUACUAAUAUUAGGUGUGGAUGACGGUACCGGAAGAAUAAGGACCGGCUAACUACGUGCCAGCAGCCGCGGUAAUACGUAGGGUCCAAGCGUUAAUCGGAAUUACUGGGCGUAAAGCGUGCGCAGGCGGUUGUGCAAGACCGAUGUGAAAUCCCCCGGGCUUAACCUGGGAAUUGCAUUGGUGACUGCACGGCUAGAGUGUGUCAGAGGGGGUAGAAUUCCACGUGUAGCAGUGAAAUGCGUAGAGAUGUGGAGGAAUACCGGAUGGCGAAGGCAGCCCCUGGGAUAACACUGACGCUCAUGCACGAAAGCGUGGGGAGCAAACAGGAUUAGAUACC